RNAcentral lists this long non-coding RNA (4243 nucleotides) under Hordeum vulgare. RNAcentral describes it as "long non-coding RNA (HVUL_LNC019410)". Lineage: Eukaryota; Viridiplantae; Streptophyta; Magnoliopsida; Poales; Poaceae. The record is from RNAcentral.
UGGGAUUCAACUGUCUUCUUAUUAAAGAUACAGAGUACAACGCAGAUACAAACAAGGUAGUUCCGGUACGGACUACAAAACAAGGGAAAUGCUAUGCUACCCGCUGCAGGCCCACGAUCACGACCACGGCUCAGUCUUCUGGAUAGUUCACGUAAAGGCGAUCUGUCUCCUCGUCGUACUGCCACGCCAGCUGGGUACCGUCGGGAUCGUCUGACUCUGGGGUACCUGUACCUGCUGGAAGUUUUGGAGGAAUCCGUGAGUCACGGGGACUCAGCAAUCUAAGACCUUGGUGCCAGACCUAGUCAUGUUAAUGGGUAAGGAAGGGAUGAAGUGUUUCCGGCUGCUGCAUCCUAAGAUUGAAUAAGUGGCUGACUUACGCAAAGGGAAAAGUGACAGUGAUCUAUACUAACGGACGUGAAUACUUGAUCCGAAAGUGAUCCUGAACACCUACCUACGGCAUUCAUAACCCCGCCGUGUUCCCGAUCGAAGAGAGACCUUCGAGGGGACAGUCACGGAUACGCACACUGUUGACAUGUUUUAUUAGUUUAUGUUUAAGUUUUCUAAUACCGGAUGUUAACAAAAUAUUCCAAGUUGCCACAUAACCGCGGGCACAGCUUUCCGAAAAGAUUAAACCCGGCAGGGGUGCUCCAACUAGUCCAUCACAAACGAACACAGGCCGCAAAGUCACCCUCUAUCAUGAAUCUCGUGAUCUCGUCGGAUUCCUUAGAGGAAAACCUCAACUCUGGGGUAAACCAAAGCCUCACCGGGAUUCCUAUACGCAAGAUAUACCGCUAAGGUAAGACAAGGCUAGCAGGACCUCCCGGUGUGUCGACGACCCGAUAAGAGCCGCGUAUCUCAGUCUCAGGACAACACCGUCUAUGCAAAGUGGACAAGGACCAAACCUCAAGUUUCCCCGGGGUGGUCUUGCCGACUGCUAGGUGGUUGGACCAACACUCAUGAGGAGCACUGGCCCGGGUUGUUGAUUAGGAUCCUCGGGGUAGCUAUUCCCUAUGCAGAUUAUUGUUAGGUGAUUAGCAGAUAGUACCAAAGUUGGGUCCUGCCGGACAAGCCUUAACACUACGCGAUUUAUCAAGGGGGUCCCCAUAACAACCCCGAACGUGUUAGGAGCAAUCAUUAUGGAAUCAAACACCGGUAACCGGUAACUAAGGCGGCAAUAACGGAACAAGACACCCGGCAAAAGGCUAGGCCUCCCGUCAUUUACCAAAUAUAUAGAUACAUUAAUAAAAUAACAGAAAUUAACAUAAUGAUAUCAAGCCCAUGGCAACUCAUGAGUUAUAAACACCUGCAACUAGCAAUGCUAACAUUAGUAGCUGAGCAAGCCUACCUAGCCUUGCAAGUUUGCUAGGAAAGGGUAAGAAGUUUAGGCUCAUGGCAUAUGAAGAGGUAAUAUAUUUUCAGUGGUAGGCAGCGAGCAAUAUGAUGUAGAAUCGAAACUAACAUAACAAGUCUAGAUAUGGGAUCAAGGUCAUGUCAUCUUGCCUGUGAUAUCCUCAGCUUGGAAUGGUUCUGGAUCGUCCUGCAAGUACUCUCCUGACUCCACGUAAUCGGUCUCCGCUCCCGGUGCUACCCAACACAGGAAUAACAACCAAUGAACAGCAGCACCACAAAAUGCAACAAUCACAUGAUGCAUGAGAUGAAAGUUGAGCAUGCACCACUAUUUCUAACACUAGCACAAGCAAGAUAAACUACAACGAGUUCCUGGACAUAACUUUGCACUAAACUAUUUGGACAUGCAUGGAAAUGAUAUGGACAGAUGCAUCUCGUAAAAACGGUGCAAAACCAUAUAAAGAACUUUGCAAACGGAGCUACCGAUCAACGGGAAUCAACGAAACACGAUAUGAAGCCCUACGUGAAAGAUUCAUCACCACACACAUAAUUGGCACAAAUCUGGUGUUCCCAGGUUGCCAAGACAUAUAUUAACCCAACAUGAAUGAAAUGGAGCAAGGUAGAACACCCCAACAUCAAUUAAACACAAACUUUGAACAAAAUGUCAAAACUACGCAAUCUGCCAGUUUCUGCAUCUUAGCUGUUUGUGAGCCACAUGCAACAUAGCUACAGGUCUUCAAACAUGACAACUAAUAUAUGUGGAUGUUUCCAACCAAGAACACUACCAUCUCCAGCAAGAAUCACAGCAAAAGGAAUUAAACUCUAGAAGAUACAAGGCCAUAAACUUUCCCAAAACCAUCAGUUCUCAGGGACUUAGUGAAAAUUUCUGCACCUGAGUUUCUGUUUCUGUUCUGAAGCCUUUUGACAGCAAUCAAAACACAAGCUACUGGACUCCAAAUGACUUGAAAAUUGACAGGAAGCUGCACAAACAUACCAGGUUCAAAACACUAGCACUGAACUAAGUCCAGUUCUCAACAUACUGACCUGCACAACCUUAUCUACAGGGGAAGAAAAUGUUUUCAGCAUUCCAGACUUAGUGAAAUUUUCAGAGUUCAAAAUUCUGGAAUUUUUCCAGCCACAUGCCCACUUUGUCUAGGCAUAGUUUGCACACACAAGUUUCCAAGAGGUGUUUGACACCACUAUGGUAUUGAGCACAAACCCCUACAACUAGCACUCCAAGAUCCAUGCCUUUGGGCUCCAUCUAUAUCAUGGAAACAAAGCCCAAACUUUCAACAAAGUGCAAAUGCAAUCCAUUAGGUAUGCUCCUAAAAUGACAAGUACAUAGGAGAGUUUCAUGUGCACAAUUACAAAGUGACAUGGGGGUUUGAACCCCAUGUUUGUGUCAUGCACAUCAACAACUCCAACACCACAAUUCCUCUCAAGCACUAGCAUCAAGCUCCACAUAAGAAAUCUUUAUCUAACAAGAGAGUAUGCACACCCCCCACAUAUGGGCAUGUGAUGGUGCACACUCUCACAAGCAUCACUAGGAUCUUCCUAGUGUUCAUGUCACCAUCAAUAUGCAAUCUACCACCACAAACCACACCCUCACAUGCUAACAUAAAUAGCUAUCUAGAACCUCACUUCACCCCAAAACAUGUGAUGAGGGGGAGGCAUCCACACCCCACUAAACCAAUGCAAACAUCUAAGACUACAAGAUCCCUUAGCCCACACCAAAGUUCAAGAAUUUGGGGCUAUACAAGAGUAGCUAGUGCCUCUUAUCACCUCAAGGCACACACACUCAAAUGUCAAGGCAUCUCACAUCUCCCAUUUAACAAGGUUAGCUCCACUUCACUAAGGUGCACCCUCCAUAGACAUCCAAGCAUUGCAAGUUCAUACACAAACACAAACUCUUAUGCACAAAACAACCCUUGUGGGUGUGCCACCAUGCACACACCCCAACACCAACCUACACCAAGCCUAAUACAAGCACACACUAUGCAGGAAAGGAGAAAACUAAAGGCCAAGGAAGGGGGAAAAAUACCACAUGCAAAUAGGGAAGUUUAGCUACCAUCUAGCAAGGAAGGGAAAAAAAUUGACAAGAAAACAAUGUUCAGAGAAAAAGGGGGAGGUGCUGGGGUCGAACCCCAGACCUGCUGGAGUGCAAGCCGCAAUCCUACCACUCUGCUAGGGUCUAGGUACUCGACAAAAAGGGACCCAAACAGAGGAACUACUAUCUGCUCUGCCCUGCUGAUAAAACAGGAAAAAGAAAGCAAAAAGGGGGAUGAUUCUACUGGGAUUCGAACCCUACACCUGAUGAAAGAUCAACGCACCUUCUACCACUGUGCUACGACGCAUUGUCUGACAGAGGAGGGAAAUAAUGCAUCCUGACAUGGCCUCGCUUCAGGUCGCUGGACUGCACCUGCGAUCCGGUGACAGGAGGUCACCGGAGCUGCAUCUCUGUCCCGUCUCUACUACGCCUGCGGGAGAGGGAAAGGGCUCCUGCGCGUCUACCCUGUACCGUCCCUCAUCAACCAACUCCCCUGCCACUCACCACGCACCCACACACACCUGACGACCUCUCCUGGGAACAGAGAACCCUCUACUAUGCCUGCUAACUCAUGGGGAAGGGAGGAGGCGGUCGUCACCUAGAACCGGAAGAGGGGGCGCCGAUCUGCAACGGGAGAGUGCCGGAGAGGAAGAAGGGCGUCGGAGUAGCUGAUCCUGAACCGAAGAAACGCUGCAGGGGAAAGAGCACCGGGAGCUUGCCGUAGACGUGGACGGAUCCGGCGGAGCAGCCGGUCCCCGGGGCUCCUAGUGCCGGGAAUGGAUCGCGGGGAUCGACCCCGAGCUCCUGGACAUGGUGACAGCGGCGAUCUGCAACGGGAGCGAGGCGUCC